UACGUAGGGUGCGAGCGUUAAUCGGAAUUACUGGGCGUAAAGCGUGCGCAGGCGGUUCUCCAAGUCCGUUGUGAAAGCCCCGGGCUCAACCUGGGAAUUGCAGUGGAAACUAGGGGACUGGAAUCUGGCAGAGGGGGGUGGAAUGCCGCGUGUAGCAGUGAAAUGCGUAGAGAUGCGGCGGAACACCGAUGGCGAAGGCAGCCCCCUGGGCUGAGAUUGACGCUCAGGCACGAAAGCGUGGGGAGCAAACAGG
Molecule: ribosomal RNA, 253 nt
Filed under: uncultured bacterium
Lineage: Bacteria
Description: partial 16S ribosomal RNA
Rfam family: Bacterial small subunit ribosomal RNA
Source: RNAcentral